UGAUAGCUGAGAAGCGAGAGGUUGCUGCACAUAAGUUGCAGGUUUUCCGUGGAGCGAAUGUCAUGUAAUGAUACUGGCGACAA
RNAcentral lists this non-coding RNA (83 nucleotides) under bovine gut metagenome. RNAcentral's name for it is "S10-Clostridia ribosomal protein leader". It matches the Rfam family "S10-Clostridia ribosomal protein leader". The record is from RNAcentral.